This 284-nucleotide unclassified non-coding RNA is filed under the name Hevea brasiliensis (rubber tree). The record is from RNAcentral. Lineage: Eukaryota; Viridiplantae; Streptophyta; Magnoliopsida; Malpighiales; Euphorbiaceae.
AAACAAUAUCCUUGUCUGCAUGGAUUGAAAACCAGGCAUCCAUGAUAGAAAUGCCAAAGGAGCCAUAACAAUUAACCCAAGCAUCAUGUCAUAUAACCGAGCCAAUGACACAACAGUGCCCCAAACCAAAGUAGACUGCAAAAAGGGCCGGAGCACUAGGGCAAUUUGGAUUAUGCCCCACCCAGUUGGAAUAAAUGCCAACAAACUUGUGAUCAAGUCAAACAGCGUAAACAGGGUGAACCUCAACAAUAUAACAAUCACCAAUACCGUGACUAGAAUGACAA